Molecule: ribosomal RNA, 253 nt
Filed under: uncultured bacterium
Lineage: Bacteria
Description: partial 16S ribosomal RNA
Rfam family: Bacterial small subunit ribosomal RNA
Source: RNAcentral
UACGAAGGGGGCUAGCGUUGUUCGGAAUUACUGGGCGUAAAGGGCGCGUAGGCGGUCUGGUCAGUCCCUUGUGAAAUCCCCCGGCUCAACUGGGGAACUGCACGGGAAACAGCCGGGCUUGAGUUCGGGAGAGGGAAGCGGAAUUCCGGGUGUAGCGGUGAAAUGCGUAGAUAUCCGGAGGAACACCGGUGGCGAAGGCGGCUUCCUGGACCGAUACUGACGCUGAGGCGCGAAAGCUAGGGGAGCAAACGGG